This is a long non-coding RNA of Oncorhynchus tshawytscha (Chinook salmon), 547 nucleotides long. Lineage: Eukaryota; Metazoa; Chordata; Actinopteri; Salmoniformes; Salmonidae. The record is from Ensembl.
CCUACCCAGGCCCACGGCAUUCAUUACCUACCCAGGCCCGCGACAUUCAUUACCUACCCAGGCCCACGACAUUCAGGCCCAUGACAUUCAUGAUCUACCCAGGCCCACGACAUUCAUUACCUACCCAGGCCCACGACAUUCAGGCCCGCAACAUUCAUGAUCUACCCAGGCCUACGACAUUAAUUACAUACCCAGGCCCACGACAUUCAUUACCUACCCAGGCCCACGACAUCCAUUACCUACCCAGGCCCGUGACAUUCACUACCUACCCAGGCCCACGACAGUCAGGCCCGCGACAUUCAUGAUCUACCCAGGCCCACGACAUUCAUUACCUACCCAGGCCCACGACAUUCAGGCCCGCAACAUUCAUGAUCUACCCAGACCUACGACAUUCAUUACCUACCCAGGCCCACGACAUUCAUUACCUACCCAGGCCCACGACAUUCAGGCCCGCAACAUUCAUGAUCUACCCAGGCCUACGACAUUCAUUACCUACCCAGGCCCACGACAUUCAGGCCCACGACAUUCAUUACCUACCCAGGCCCAC